UGCUAACCACAUCUGAAUACCUUUGGCUGUUCAAUUUCCAUUUCUACAAUUUCUAGACUAGCAUAUUAUCUCUAUUUUUAUAGAACAACAAUCACGCUCGAUAUUUUAUUCCAAGUAAUUUCCCUGAAUAUUUAUAUACAUAAUUUAGUUUAUUAUAAUAUCUUCUCAUCUUAUAUGAACAGCUAUUUUUGUAUAUAAAUGCAAAGCGCUAUUUCGAGUAUAAUCAAACCGUUAGUGGCUGUUCUAGAGGAACUUUCUUAGCAAAUACUCAGAACCGUCCUUGAAAAAAAAUAAUUCAGCAAAAAUGCGUACGUUCGGCGUUUGCUUAGUACUGGUGUUCUUCGUGGCGAUGCUGGUCGGCACCAGCGGUAAUCCCGUCGGCGAUAAUGUUCCUCACAUUAGAGGCAGCCGAUCAUCCGGUGAUUCAACAAUCUUUGUCAACUGUCGACGACCAGCAAGGACAUGAGAAUGAAGGCGAUCGCUUGGCACGGGGCUACGGAGGCCACCAUGGUGAGCAUCAUGACGGGUAUUAUGGUUGGCAUCAUGGUGGGCAUCAUGGUUAGAGUCACUACAAAUUAAAAAAAAAUAUAUAUAUCUUUAUUUUGAAUUGUGAAAGUAAACAUUUGAUUUAACAAAUUAUUGGAAUAAAACUAAAAAACUUGCAAGAAUAAA
Molecule: long non-coding RNA, 672 nt
Organism: Bactrocera neohumeralis
Lineage: Eukaryota; Metazoa; Arthropoda; Insecta; Diptera; Tephritidae
Exons: 2
Source: RefSeq, a predicted model, not a curated record